AUACGUAGGGGGCGAGCGUUGUCCGGAAUGAUUGGGCGUAAAGGGCGCGUAGGCGGCGCGGUAAGUCUGGAGUGAAAGUCCUGCUUUCAAGGUGGGAAUUGCUUUGGAUACUGCCGCGCUUGAGUGCAGGAGAGGUUAUCGGAAUUCCCGGUGUAGCGGUGAGAUGCGUAGAGAUCGGGAGGAACACCAGUGGCGAAGGCGGGUAACUGGACUGCAACUGACGCUGAGGCGCGAAAGUGUGGGGAGCAAACAGGAUUAGAUACCCUGGUAGUCCACACUGUAAACGAUGAAUGCUAGGUGUAAGAGGUAUCGACCCCUUUUGUGCCGGAGUCAACACAAUAAGCAUUCCGCCUGGGGAGUACGGCCGCAAGGUUGAAACUUAAAGGAAUUGACGGGG
This 397-nucleotide ribosomal RNA is filed under the name uncultured bacterium. RNAcentral describes it as "partial 16S ribosomal RNA". It matches the Rfam family "Bacterial small subunit ribosomal RNA", at positions 523 to 918 of the family's 1533-position model. The record is from RNAcentral.